RNAcentral lists this microRNA precursor (148 nucleotides) under Paramuricea clavata. Lineage: Eukaryota; Metazoa; Cnidaria; Anthozoa; Malacalcyonacea; Plexauridae. The record is from RNAcentral.
GUUGUGCUGCACCCCGUGAACAAUAUUGUUAACAAGUUGUUCAACCAUCAGUACUGUUGCAAGUUGUUAACAUGAUUGUCAACAAGUUGCAACAAUGUUGAUGGUUCAACAACUUGUUAACAAUAUUGUUCACGGGGUGCAGCACAAC